Molecule: ribosomal RNA, 274 nt
Filed under: uncultured bacterium
Lineage: Bacteria
Description: partial 16S ribosomal RNA
Rfam family: Bacterial small subunit ribosomal RNA
Source: RNAcentral
AUACAGAGGGUGCAAGCGUUAUUCGGAAUUACUGGGCGUAAAGCGCGCGUAGGCGGAUGAUUAAGUCAGUUGUGAAAGCCCUGGGCUCAACCUAGGAACUGCAUCUGAUACUGGUCAUCCAGAGUUUAAGAGAGGGAAGUGGAAUUCCAGGUGUAGCAGUGAAAUGCGUAGAUAUCUGGAGGAACAUCAGUGGCGAAGGCGACUUCCUGGCUUAGAACUGACGCUGAGGUGCGAAAGCGUGGGUAGCGAACGGGAUUAGAAACCCUAGUAGUCC